RNAcentral lists this ribosomal RNA (551 nucleotides) under Anaplasma bovis. RNAcentral's name for it is "bacterial SSU rRNA". It matches the Rfam family "Bacterial small subunit ribosomal RNA", at positions 72 to 655 of the family's 1533-position model. The record is from RNAcentral. Lineage: Bacteria; Pseudomonadati; Pseudomonadota; Alphaproteobacteria; Rickettsiales; Anaplasmataceae.
CUCGUAGCUUGCUAUGAGAACAGUUAGUGGCAGACGGGUGAGUAAUGCAUAGGAAUCUACCUAGUAGUAUAGGAUAGCCACUAGAAGUGGUGGGUAAUACUGUAUAUUCCCUGCGGGGGAAAGAUUUAUCGCUACAUGAUGAGCCUAUGUUAGAUUAGCUAGUUGGUGGGGUAAUGGCCUACCAAGGCAGUGAUCUAUAGCUGGUCUGAGAGGAUGAUCAGCCACACUGGAACUGAGACACGGUCCAGACUCCUACGGGAGGCAGCAGUGGGGAAUAUUGGACAAUGGGCGCAAGCCUGAUCCAGCUAUGCCGCGUGAGUGAGGAAGGCCUUAGGGUUGUAAAACUCUUUCAGUGGGGAAGAUAAUGACGGUACCCACAGAAGAAGUCCCGGCAAACUCCGUGCCAGCAGCCGCGGUAAUACGGAGGGGGCAAGCGUUGUUCGGAAUUAUUGGGCGUAAAGGGCAUGUAGGUGGUUUGGUAAGUUAAAGGUGAAAUGCCAGGGCUUAACCCUGGAGCUGCUUUUAAUACUGCCAGACUGGAGUCCGGGAGA